Molecule: non-coding RNA, 21 nt
Organism: Caenorhabditis elegans
Lineage: Eukaryota; Metazoa; Nematoda; Chromadorea; Rhabditida; Rhabditidae
Source: Ensembl
UGUUAAAUUUCCGCGACUUAA